GCGGGAAUAGCUCAGUUGGUAGAGCAUAACCUUGCCAAGGUUGGGGUCGAGAGUUCGAGUCUCUUUUCCCGCU
Molecule: non-coding RNA, 73 nt
Organism: Acinetobacter sp.
Lineage: Bacteria; Pseudomonadati; Pseudomonadota; Gammaproteobacteria; Moraxellales; Moraxellaceae
Source: Rfam